GCAAAUAUUUUACCACAUCAAUCUUCAAAGUCAACAAUCAUGAUAUUGUACAAACAUUUGAUUGUUCAAACGUCAUACCUUAAAUGAAAUACUACUAGCAUUGUUGGAAAAUCUAUUUGAUAUCCUCCAAAAACAUACUGUUUCUGUUUAUCAGCCAUACAACGAUGGACUGCCAAAGUUGAAUUCUUUUAAAAUAAAGAUGCUUAGCCGGUGCCGUUAGCGACCUAGGGACGGCAGGAUCAACGGUGCUUCAGAAUGCUCUGCCGUUUUGGGAGUUAAAAGAGAUCCCCAAGGCCCCACUGUUUGAGCCCCAUUUGGAAACCAAUAAGCAUGACCAAAUGAAUUGAUAGCACUUGAUGAAUUUUGAACCUGAUAUCUUGGGAGAUAGUAAAUCCUAAAUCUCAGGUCUUGACCUCCGGACCAUCCUUGGGGUUUUGUCAUUUAAAAACUUUGAGAGAUGACUUACAAUCUUUUGGGACGAAAUGAGUAUCUCAAUUUGUAAAUUUAGCUUUUUGGAAAGACAAAACUAGGCAUACAAGAAUCAUUUUCGUUUUUCGUGAAUCUGUUUUUAACUUAUCGGUGAUAAAAUUUUGACCUGAUAUAUAAGAACACUCCAGCAAAUUCAAAUAGAAAAAGAAGCAAAAGGCCAAAAGUAGAGGUGUUGUGGUGGAGAGAGCUAGUAACUAACUGCUUGCAAUAAAACUAACUGCUUGCACUAAAUAACGAGGGUUUUGGCGUAGCAGGGCCAACCAAACAACGAAUACAAGCCAAAAAAUGGUGUGCAUUAUUUAAGCCUAAAACGGCAGCACUUUCGAGCACCGUUGAUCUUGCCGUCCUACUGUUACUGACAAUGUCAGGAGACGACUUACGAGUGAUAUAGCCAGUCUCGGGUCGUACGAAUUAGUAUGAACAGGAAAUGCGAACAGCAUAGGAAAUGGAAGCAGCAACUCAACCGAAGCAGAGAGGCAAGCAAAAUAAACACUUGUAACACGAAAGCAUAUAAACAUAUACAUGGACACAAAACAUCCUCAAGUCAAAAUAAACAGGAAAAAUGCGCAACCACAAUCUAGUAUACGACAACUAAAAUGCUAAAUCCUUGCAACAUUCCAAUUACAACAUAUAAUGUUCUGUUCGUGAAUAUUGUAGGUAGAUUCCCACUAAUCUUGUUUAUUGAUUUUGAGAAAGUCCUCUUGGGGAGAUGCGGGCCCGCAGUGGAUAUUUCAUCACGGUAGUGAACUCCUGCUUCUCCGAUAGAUCAACGGUAUCCCCUUCAACAGCUGUCCAUUCAAAAUACCAAACCAAAUUCGCAACGAAAAACUCCAAGUGAAGCAUAGCCAUCCCAGC
This is a long non-coding RNA of Rhododendron vialii, 1344 nucleotides long. RefSeq lists it as uncharacterized. The transcript has 2 exons. NCBI's taxonomy places the organism in Eukaryota, Viridiplantae, Streptophyta, Magnoliopsida, Ericales, Ericaceae. The record is from RefSeq and is a predicted model, not a curated record.